This 72-nucleotide transfer RNA is filed under the name Streptococcus pneumoniae. RNAcentral's name for it is "tRNA-Gly(gcc)". It matches the Rfam family "tRNA". From Rfam's summary of the family: Transfer RNA (tRNA) molecules are approximately 80 nucleotides in length. Their secondary structure includes four short double-helical elements and three loops (D, anti-codon, and T loops). Further hydrogen bonds mediate the characteristic L-shaped molecular structure. tRNAs have two regions of fundamental functional importance: the anti-codon, which is responsible for specific mRNA codon recognition, and the 3' end, to which the tRNAs corresponding amino acid is attached (by aminoacyl-tRNA synthetases). tRNAs cope with the degeneracy of the genetic code in two manners: having more than one tRNA (with a specific anti-codon) for a particular amino acid; and 'wobble' base-pairing, i.e. permitting non-standard base-pairing at the 3rd anti-codon position. The record is from RNAcentral. Lineage: Bacteria; Bacillati; Bacillota; Bacilli; Lactobacillales; Streptococcaceae.
GCGAACGUAGUUCAGUGGUAGAACACCACCUUGCCAAGGUGGGGGUCGCGGGCUCGAAUCCCGUCGUUCGCU